AAUCAAAGUGUUGAGUUCAGUACUGGGCUUUCUCCCCGGUUCUGGUAAUUAAUCUUUGGUACAGAAAAUGGCUGAGUGAUAUUAGAAACAUGAAGUAGUUAUGCUUUGAUCACCUUCAUCAAACUUCAGCCAACAUUG
RNAcentral lists this small nucleolar RNA (138 nucleotides) under Sinocyclocheilus rhinocerous. Lineage: Eukaryota; Metazoa; Chordata; Actinopteri; Cypriniformes; Cyprinidae. The record is from RNAcentral.